CCUACGGGAGGCAGCAGUGGGGAAUAUUGCUCAAUGGGCGCAACCCUGAUGCAGCGACGCCGCGUGAGUGAAGAAGUAUUUCGGUAUGUAAAGCUCUAUCAGCAGGGAAGAAGAAAGCCGGUACCUGACUAAGAAGCCCCUGCUAACGACGGGCCAGCAGCCGCGGUAAUACGUAGGGGGCACGCGUUAACCGGAUUUACUGGGGGUAAAGGGAGCGUAGACGGCUGUGCAAGUCUGAAGGGAAAGCCCAGGGCUUAACCCUGGGAGUGCUUUGGAAACUGUGGAGCUAGAGUGCUGGAGAGGUAAGUGGAAUGCCUAGUGUAGCGGUGAAAUGCGUAGAUAUUAGGAGGAACACCAGUGGCGAAGGCGGCUUACUGGACAGUAACUGACGUUGAGGCUCGAAAGCGUGGGGAGCAAACAGGAUUAGAUACCCCUGUAGUC
RNAcentral lists this ribosomal RNA (441 nucleotides) under uncultured bacterium. Its description in RNAcentral is "partial 16S ribosomal RNA". It matches the Rfam family "Bacterial small subunit ribosomal RNA", at positions 338 to 795 of the family's 1533-position model. The record is from RNAcentral.